Long non-coding RNA from Syngnathus typhle (broad-nosed pipefish), 1053 nucleotides. RefSeq lists it as uncharacterized. NCBI's taxonomy places the organism in Eukaryota, Metazoa, Chordata, Actinopteri, Syngnathiformes, Syngnathidae. The record is from RefSeq and is a predicted model, not a curated record. The transcript has 2 exons.
GCCGCUCGUAGCAAGCGCAGCGGUGUAACAGAAAAUCGACACACGAGGAAGUCAAUUCAUUUCGAAAGCAAGUGAUGUAUUAAAACGACAAAUGCCAUUUUUAUUUCGGAGCUGAGCUCAGUACGUUUCGAGUCGAUGGGAAGAUGCAGUAGGGAAAAAAAAAAAUGGUUUGGAAAAAACAAAAGAAAGAAAACAAGAGCUUGGCAGGACACUUUGAGCAGCUGCGAUGAGAAGAGAGAGUGCGAAGUCGGAUGUCGGAUGCCUUUGCCGCACCGACGGGGAGAAUUAAGCGUGCGUGUGUGGGCAGACCGGGAAGCCGGCUGUGAAGGCAGCUGUCAGGCAGCGGCGAGAACCGGGGCCAAGAAGUCAAGCACAAUAGCUCUGCCUCGACAUCUUCACUUCCUCUACGCGUCGUGACUGAAUUGUGUUACUACAGCAGAAAAAUUCCAGACAACGCAGCACGGGUUCCUCUGAGACGUGACCCCCCCGAGUUGGGAUCAAAAACAAGAAUCUGGCAGGAAAUGCAUUUUUUUCAUGGUGGCAUCCUCAUAUGUGAUGGAACAAUAUCUUAGAGACCUUUUAAUGGCAUCGUCUUCCGAUAAAAUGAGAGAUACUAAAAUGUUGUCCAACCUCUCUUGAUCGGCGCUUCGAAACCGAGGCAGGAUCAUCUGUCGGAAACUGCUGGUCCGGUCCAGUUUGGGUUGACUUUUGGCCCUCUUGAUGGAGCCCUUCAGCCUUCGAUUGAGGAAACUCUAAAUGUUGAGGGGAACACAUAGACAGCAACUUCAAGUCCCCCAUUGCUCAACUCAAUUCACUCAAGAACUUCCCCAAAGCACAGACAUUUUUGGAUCUUCACAAAUGAUGCUUUGGUGCACUCACCGGUUGUCUGAAGGACUGCGGGGUGGCGUUGGGAGGCGUUUCCAUGCUUGACUGUCGCACAGAGGCAAAACUUGCCCUGCGGGAUUGGUCUGGGUAGGACAAAUGGCAGCAGAACCACUUUAAUUGUAUUCUUGACAACAUGGACAUCACAGGCAUUAAAGACCGAUGACUUAG